Molecule: long non-coding RNA, 294 nt
Organism: Dendroctonus ponderosae (mountain pine beetle)
Lineage: Eukaryota; Metazoa; Arthropoda; Insecta; Coleoptera; Curculionidae
Exons: 2
Source: RefSeq, a predicted model, not a curated record
AUUAGGUACAAAUAAGAAGGUGUAAUCCUUGUUUGAAAUAAAUGUUCACAAGUAUUUAGACUAAUUUUUUGAGAAAAGUGUAUGUUUCCAAGCGGAACGAUGCUAUUCUACUAUCGUCAUGGAACAGGCGAGGUCAGAAUACACCAGGGGGUGGCUUAUAUCUCGUACGUGCCCGGAAAGCUAAGAGUUUUUGAUUGAUAAACAAACGCAACACGUGGUUUUGCAUUUAUAUCGUUUAGUUUCAACUUUAUGAACUAGUUGUGCUUCUUUUCAAUAAAGUUGAUUCAACACAUU